CCAACUGUUAUCAUGGAGCCCAGUUGGUAACUUCCCUUAUUUUAGAAAUGUAGCAAUCUCUGUGAAGCCCCAGCUCAAGGUCAGAGGCCUUGUUUACAUAUUUUUGUGAAAAACUAGUAAAGGGGUGUCUAGCAUUUGGAGUGCUGAUUUUUUUCUAUCCAGUGGAAAGUGGCCAAGUAAAACAGGGCAACAUGAAAAGAGGAAGUUUAUCUACAUUAAACUUUUUGUAGAGACUCUUUUACUGACAGUCCUAAAAUCAGCCAUGGUGAAGACUUCUGGAGAAGGUCAGUUAAGACUCUUCUAUGGGCCUGGGUAGGGAGGGGGAAGAUGGGAAGGUGGGGCUGAGAGCAGCUCGGGUGGAUCUGAGAAUGAGGAAGGAGAUGUUAUAGAAUAAUGGGAAAGGGAUUUGGGAUUUUCCCUAGCAAGGAAAACUUGAGCAGUAUAACAGGUAGAGCAGAGGCGAAGACAGGAGCAAAUAUCCCAAAAAGCCUGUAAGGGACUUGAAUUCUCAGUAACCUGUUUUCAGUGAUGGCAAAGCAACUUUAAACUUUAAAGCCAUUUUCACCAGAUCUCGGAUAGGGGUCCAAGGGCUCUCCUUAGCUCGUCUGAGCUUUGGGUUAGCUGGUAAGAGGGCUUGGUGGGACCGGGUAUGGGCACUGACAGGAGAAGAGAGGAGUGAGCGGAUGGAGGGAUACCUUCAGUAGCUGCUAUCUCAGCAAGGGGGCAAAGGUCUGAGGAAGGGCGGUGGUUUGGGUUUUUGAUCUAGUAAUUGGAGGGGAGAAAGCAGGUUAUUGAGGCAGGGGAGACGGGAGAAGGUGGAGGGGCUGGGGCAGAAGGUUGAGGGUGAGGACUAUUGGAGCCGGGCGAUAGGGUGGGGGUUCAUAAGCAGAGUCAUUGCCGGGUUUCUGUUCUCGUGACUAAAAGUCUCAGGGGUCACUCUAGUUNCAUGAAAUAAACACACAAGAGACACAAAUACCUUUUACUUUGGGGUUGCUGUGACGGCUCCUCUGACCUUAAGGGUCCGUAGAAAAGAGAGAGAGA
This 1041-nucleotide long non-coding RNA is filed under the name Marmota monax (woodchuck). Lineage: Eukaryota; Metazoa; Chordata; Mammalia; Rodentia; Sciuridae. The record is from RNAcentral.